Molecule: long non-coding RNA, 999 nt
Filed under: Mustela putorius furo (domestic ferret)
Lineage: Eukaryota; Metazoa; Chordata; Mammalia; Carnivora; Mustelidae
Description: lncRNA (ENSMPUG00000024222.1)
Source: RNAcentral
GUGUGGUGUAGACGCUUGGGUCAGGACACCGCGGCUGCAGAGGCUAAAGGAGCAGGAAGAUGGGGGGUGAGGCAGGAGAGAGGAGGGAGCGUUGAUGGAGGAGCUGACCCUGGGGAUGAGAGGAGGCCACGAGGACGCGGGCCGGGAAGGAAGUCCCCGGGAGCUGGGGACUUAGCACCUGCCCCACAGGCCUGGGCUGACUCGAGGGGCCUGGGGCAAGGGCACAGGUGCGGCCGCCUGGUUGGUGCCUGUCUCUGCAACCCCGAUGUCCUCACACACCCGUGUGGACAGCACAGUCGACACCGGUGGGUUCUGUCCCAUCUCUCCUCAGUGACCUGCCAGGACAUCGGGGAAGGAAAGCCAAGAAGACACUCCUUGCGUCCUGCCCGUGUCUCUCUCCCCAGACAAAGCACAUCAGGACAGAUCAAAGAGAAGGAAGAGAAGCACACACGGGGGAGAUUAUACUCUGAAGCCAGAUUAUACUCUGAAGCCACGGGAACAGCCACACAUACGGAGUUCUGGAGCUGGGAUGUGUCAUCUUCCCCAUAUGUGGAUGUGGUCCCCGACGUGGAAGCUCUCCAAGCCCCCGACUUAUUUUUUUUAAAUGAAAGCUUCAUCAUGUGGGUAUCACGUGUCAUUAACUCUGUUGGCAGACUCUCCCUUCUCCAGAGAAUGCUGGUGGAGCUGAAGUUUCGAGGUUCUAAUCAUGGCUGUCUCUGUUUUAAAAGGAGCCCACCCAGGAUCACCUCAUAAAAAUAACAGGUGCACCCAUCCCAGGAAAGUACAAGAGUUUAGGAGCCCCAGGUCAGACACUGGGGUCAAGCACCCACUAUUAGCACAAAAGGUGCUCCCCACACUCUCGUCUCUUAGGACGUUAAAAGGGUUUCAGGCAUUCCGUGCCAGGAACUGGGGCAGAAAGCCAUCAUCUUGCAGUGACAUGGCCUCAUGUGUGCUUCCUGCCUCGAGAUGGCUCUGGAAGUCUGUUGUGUUGAGUUUGGG